This 372-nucleotide long non-coding RNA is filed under the name Ananas comosus (pineapple). RNAcentral describes it as "long non-coding RNA (ACOM_LNC002283)". The record is from RNAcentral. Lineage: Eukaryota; Viridiplantae; Streptophyta; Magnoliopsida; Poales; Bromeliaceae.
AUAGGGUUAAUUACAACCUAAUCUUUACACUAUUUUUCAAUAUAAUCCCUAACUUUCUUUUUGCAAUUAAGUUUCUAAUCUUUUAAUUUUAUUGUAAUUAAGUCUCAGCCGUCAGAUAGGUGUUAAAAUUGAUAAAAAAUAUUAGGUCAGCGCCAUGAAGGAGCCGUGUCAACACUACCCAGGCGCCAUAUCAGCGCCAGCUAAUUAUACAAUUUAAAUUUAAAUUUAAAUUUAAAUCUAAAUUAUACAUUCAAUUAAAUUAUAAAUUCAAAGCAAGAUUUUUAAUUUAAAAUUUAAAAUUUGGUUUUGGAUUCAAAUUUAAAUUUUGAUUUUAUAUUUAAUUUUAAAUUCAAAUUCACAUUUUGAAUUCUA